Molecule: ribosomal RNA, 234 nt
Filed under: uncultured Sphingobacteriales bacterium
Lineage: Bacteria; Pseudomonadati; Bacteroidota; Sphingobacteriia; Sphingobacteriales
Description: partial 16S ribosomal RNA
Rfam family: Bacterial small subunit ribosomal RNA
Source: RNAcentral
GCGACCAACGGUAGGAGAAGGAAGGUGGGGAUGACGUCAAAUCAGCACGGCCCUUAUGUCCAGGGCUACACACGUGUUACAAUGGCCGGUACAAAGGGCAGCUACACCGCGAGGUGAUGCUAAUCUCGAAAGCCGGUCUCAGUUCGGAUCGAAGUCUGCAACCCGACUUCGUGAAGUUGGAUUCGCUAGUAAUCGCGCAUCAGCCAUGGCGCGGUGAAUACGUUCCCGGGCCUU